GUCAUUCCAGUGGAUGGAGACAAUGGAAUAAACACCAACAACAUUCCUAUCAAAAAGAGGACUGGUACCCAGCUGCAAUUUCUUCAGGAAGACUCCGCUGAAAUGUUUUGGGGAGAUCCUUUCCAACCCACCUACAAGGAGAAUGAAAGAAAGGAUAGUGCUGUUGAUUCAGGAGUUAAAUCAAGCUUAUCUGCAGAAGAGAUGAAUUCAUCAACAGCGGAUAUCUUCAGGGUAUGGGAUUUGGACAUUCCAGUAGAUGGGGACAAUGGAAUAAACACCAACAACAUUCCUAUCAAAAAGAGGACUGGUACUGAGCUGCAAUUUCUUCAGGAAGAUUCCACUGAAGUGUUUCGGGGAGAUCCUUUCCGACCCACCUACGAGAAUGAAAGAAAGGAUAGUGCUGCUGAUUCAGGAGUUAAAUCAAGCUUAUCUGCAGAAGAGAUGAAUUCAUCAACAGUGGAUAUCUUCAGGGUAUGGGAUUUGGACAUUCCGGAUGAGGAAGAUGAUCUUAUUAAAGAGUUGAACG
This 526-nucleotide long non-coding RNA is filed under the name Gossypium barbadense (sea-island cotton). Its description in RNAcentral is "long non-coding RNA (GBAR_LNC021442)". The record is from RNAcentral. Lineage: Eukaryota; Viridiplantae; Streptophyta; Magnoliopsida; Malvales; Malvaceae.